UUACUUAUAGCUAAAAUUAAAAACUCUUUAGAUCGUUAUGAGAAUAAACUUUAUAAGUUUUAUCUUGUUAAGACUGAUAAUAACUGUCAUUAUGUGAUGGGAGAUACAGAUAUUAAGAUUUUAUCUCAUAAAUAUUGUAUAAAAAAGAGAACGACUAAUAUUAUAUUGCAGUUUCGAAGCAAUCGCGUCUGUGUAUUUUUUAUCGUCAAUAUGCUUCAUCUAAUUUUCAUAAUGUUCCUAAUGCAAUACAGUAUUGCGAAGACGUAUACCAUUGAAGUGAGAGGUGAACGACCGGUCAAGGACAGUGAAGAUUAUAUAAUCCAAGGAUUCCAUAAAAUUGACAAAAGAGGUGUUUAUAACGUAGAAACUUUUUCUAGACCUACUGGAAUGCACUCCAAGGAACAAACAGUUAUAGUUGUACCUAACGAAGGGUCAGCCACUCAAACGCGAAACAACGCAAAUAAAGAAACAGUCGUCGUUAUGAGCUCAGGU
This is a long non-coding RNA of Vanessa tameamea, 492 nucleotides long. RefSeq lists it as uncharacterized. The record is from RefSeq and is a predicted model, not a curated record. NCBI's taxonomy places the organism in Eukaryota, Metazoa, Arthropoda, Insecta, Lepidoptera, Nymphalidae. The transcript has 4 exons.